Molecule: long non-coding RNA, 686 nt
Filed under: Polistes fuscatus (common paper wasp)
Lineage: Eukaryota; Metazoa; Arthropoda; Insecta; Hymenoptera; Vespidae
Description: uncharacterized LOC122525334, transcript variant X4
Source: RNAcentral
UGUCGGCAACUUUGAGGAAUGAUCCCAUUGCGUUUGAAGUAUUAAUAACGAGGGACAUGCAUAAAUCCGCAUCCCCAGGUGCAGCAACAGCGCGUGCCACCGAGCACGACGUAUUAAUAUCCGUCUCAUGUGCGUUAGCUCGAUAUCGUAUUUCUCGGUCAUUCGAUCGGGUGAGUUAGUUCCCCCUUUUCGAAUAUUUUUCGAAGAUACGGAUUUAUAUAAUACGGAUUUUCUAAUUUAUUUAAGAAAAUUAUUAUCGAGUUUGGGGUGGAGGAGAACGUUAUUGAUAAGAGAGACAAGAAUUUUACUCAGAUUGAAUUAUCGACAAUUAAUAUUUUUCAAUCUUGCAACUAUGUCAAAUUCUCUUAAAAAAAUGACAAGUAUCUCAUAUCCAAUAAUUGAUAGCUCACGGUCUGGCUCGUUACACGUGACAAGACUCUAAGCAGUCCUUUCGUAACGGAGUGUGUGCUACGUUAGCGAUGAGUUGGGCGUGACGAGACGUAAUCUCUCGGUUAGAGUCUUGACGUUUGAUUGGCAAAGCAAACAGUGGGAUACUCGUAUGCGUGGGCGUACAAAUGCACAGUAAGAUCUAUGCGUUGGGAUCUUCUUCGAUCGUAAUCGGUGGGAUCCCAACGGGUAUGAAGAAUUAAUAUUUAAGAAAAAAAAAAGACAAAGGUCAUAUAAAG